UAAAAAGCUCCGAUGACA
RNAcentral lists this transfer RNA (18 nucleotides) under Anguilla australis (Australian shortfin eel). RNAcentral's name for it is "partial tRNA-Phe". Lineage: Eukaryota; Metazoa; Chordata; Actinopteri; Anguilliformes; Anguillidae. The record is from RNAcentral.